This is a long non-coding RNA of Solanum pennellii, 1294 nucleotides long. RefSeq lists it as uncharacterized. The transcript has 3 exons. The record is from RefSeq and is a predicted model, not a curated record. NCBI's taxonomy places the organism in Eukaryota, Viridiplantae, Streptophyta, Magnoliopsida, Solanales, Solanaceae.
CCUUCUCUCAGCUAACUUCUACAGCUCAGUUCUCUAAGCUUCAAAUUGGCCAAAGACAAAAAAAAAGACGUGCUUUUGGGCAAUAUGUCAGAAUCAAUUUCUCUGUGUUGAUCAGACCCAACAAAUGUUGUCGAAGAGAAUAUUUCGCAUUCAAUUGAGAAAGUCAUCCUGGAAAAACUCUAAUGUUACUCAGUCAAGUCUAACAAUUCUGUCCUACACAUCAAAAGAACAUGUACCUCUACCGGUCACUAGCGAGAGAAACAUUAAAAAGGUCAAAUUGUUCGAUGCUAACGAGGUAGAGAUGAAUGAGAUAUUUGUUGAAUCUGAGUGUUUCAUCAGCGGUGCCUCAAUUGAACCAACCACACCAAUAAAGAGUCUGUGAAAGGUUAGUGAAUCUAUCGGUGAAGUUAGACAGAGUAGUCGAUCUUUAUUCCUUUCUAAAAGGAUGUUAAAAUUAACUUGACAAGAACUAGUAUGAGCUUACUAAAUAUGGUAUGCCUAUUUAAUUCUGAUUAUAACAUAAUAAGGGGUCAAAAACGGAAGAAUUGUAAGGCUUGCUUAGAUAAGUGAUUUUAAGAAUUUAUUCUCUUCUUAGAGCUACCAGUCCAUUACAACACAUGGUAUUUUCCCUAACAAUCAGUGAUAAGGAAUUAAGUGAAAUUAAAAGAAGCAGACUCCAUAACUGAUAGAACUAGGUCUGGAACAGUAAUUGAAAUUUAGUUUGUCUUAGCAAGUCCUCCUAAGUUAUUUCAGUCAUUAUUUAUAUUGAUCUUACAUUAAUUAGAUUCAUAUUAGUCUUUCGACCUCUAUUUCGAAGGCUUAUUAGUUCAUUAUAUGCUUUUCAAAUUCAGUUAGACUACAUAAUGUUAAGUGUUCUGAAGGUCUAUUACUUGAAAAAAAAAUUCACUCAAUUGUGUCAAGGCAAACAUGUCAAAGAAUAAAGUAUAGCUAAUGGUUGUUUUAAAGCUUCAUUUAUAUAUUUUCUUGUAUCUGAACACCUUCAUUUACCUUCUUCAAAUAAAUAUUCGAUCUAUAAAAAUAAUAAAGUUCAUAUAUUUAUAUAAGGAUAUUACGCUGACUAUUUGUAGCAUGUGCGUUUUUCAAUAAUUUGCAGCAAUAGAAAAUAGUAAUGUCCUCAUGGGUACAUUGAAUAGUGAAUAAGCUAGGAUAUGCUCAGAAUGUCUACAGCCGUCAAGUAGUAUUUUUAAGUUUUUUGCUUCUAUAUCAAAGUAUACUCUGUGUUGACUAUAUUUGAGUUCUUAUGGGCAAGUAUACAAAAUCAACUAGGAAGUUU